CCCUGCUGAGCAGGGAGCCCGAUGUGGGACUCGAUCCUGGGACUUCGGGAUCAUGACCUGAGCCGAAGGCAGUUGCUUAACCAACUGAGCCACCCAGGCGCCCCAAACAAAUCAUGAUUUAACAACAAGUGUCCAUGAGGAAGACCAAAAGGAAGCACCUACUGAAACUGAUCCAUGUUGGCUGAAAUUAGGAAAGAAACAUGGCUACAUUUUGAACAACUGGGAUCCAUCCACAGAAAGGAACAAUAACUCUUGCUGGUGACUGCCAGGACCAGUCAGUUGCUGCACUGCCUCUCUAAGAAACAGAGAAAAAUAAGGCUCCAUCCCAAUAUUUUCAGAACUGGAACCAUUAUAAUUUCUAUUUUAUGAAUAGAGAAACUGAGGCCUGUGGAAUUCAUGAAAGGCUAGCUGGAG
This is a long non-coding RNA of Zalophus californianus (California sea lion), 414 nucleotides long. RefSeq lists it as uncharacterized. NCBI's taxonomy places the organism in Eukaryota, Metazoa, Chordata, Mammalia, Carnivora, Otariidae. The record is from RefSeq and is a predicted model, not a curated record. The transcript is spliced from 4 exons.